CAAAACAAAAACCUUUCACUUAAUAAUAAUAAUAAUGGCUACAAAAGCAUACCCAACAAACUCUUCUCCAUCCAUUUCCAGCAUCGCACAUCAACAAUCAGAAUAGCAAACAGACAUAUCGGCCUUAUAAAUCCUUCUUCUCCCUAGCUAAGUCUCAACCUCACAUUCUUACUUUGCCUCUUUCUACAACGUAACUGUGUUUUCCCUCCAAUGGUGGCCAAGA
RNAcentral lists this long non-coding RNA (223 nucleotides) under Linum usitatissimum (flax). RNAcentral's name for it is "long non-coding RNA (LUSI_LNC000258)". Lineage: Eukaryota; Viridiplantae; Streptophyta; Magnoliopsida; Malpighiales; Linaceae. The record is from RNAcentral.